This 407-nucleotide ribosomal RNA is filed under the name uncultured bacterium. RNAcentral's name for it is "partial 16S ribosomal RNA". It matches the Rfam family "Bacterial small subunit ribosomal RNA", at positions 30 to 526 of the family's 1533-position model. The record is from RNAcentral.
AUUGAACGCUAGCGGGAUGCCUUACACAUGCAAGUCGAACGGAGUGGCGAACGGGUGAGUAAUGUAUCGGAACGUGCCCAGUAGCGGGGGAUAACUACGCGAAAGCGUAGCUAAUACCGCAUACUAUUGGAGCGGCCGAUAUCGGAUUAGCUAGUUGGUGGGGUAACGGCUCACCAAGGCGACGAUCCGUAGCUGGUUGGAGAUGACGACCAGCCACACUUGGACUGAGACACGGCCCAGUCGCCCACGGUGUGCAGCAGUGGGGAAUUUUGGGCAUUGUGGGAAUCCCUGUUCCCGCCAUCCCGCGUGUGCGGUGAAGUCCUUCGGUUUUUAAAGCACUUUUGGCAGGAAAGCGGUACCUGCAGACUAAGCCCCGGCUAACUACGUGCCGGCCGCCGCGUUAAUAC